Hemicordylus capensis (graceful crag lizard) is the source of this 7350-nucleotide RNA transcript. It is a transcript of the gene named mucin-1, with no coding region annotated. The transcript is spliced from 4 exons. The record is from RefSeq and is a predicted model, not a curated record. Lineage: Eukaryota; Metazoa; Chordata; Lepidosauria; Squamata; Cordylidae.
CACACUCCCGCGUGCACGCAGAGGGACGCGGGGAGCUGCCUUCUCCUCCUCCCGAGUCAGACCCUUGGCCCACCCAGCUCAGUCCGGUCUACCCGGACGGGCAGUGGCUCUGCAGGGAUUGACUCUGGACUUCCUGCGUGCAAAGCAGGCGCUCUGUUGCCACUGAGCUGCAGCCACAUUCCUGCCCGCUGCCGGCCCGGGUUUGUCAGACCAGCCUGCCUUCUGCAUGCAAAGAGGGUCUCUGUUGCCACUGAGCUGAGCCGUGACCCAGAGCCCACCCCUUCCCCAAAGAUUCCCUGCAGCCUCUUGGAGGACUCAGUGCAGGGAUGAAAAGCCAGCCAGCCCGCCUAAGCCUGCUGCUUGCUAGAAGGACAAGCCAGAUGCCUGGAAGCCACUGAUUCUUAUGCGGAGGAGUGUCUGGCACGGCCCAUUCACACCUCCUGGCCAUCCAGAGGCUCUAUUCAACUCCCCCACCCAGCAAUCAACUCCCUGCUGAUGGAGGGAAGCCCUCUGGCCUGUCCAGGGCGAAGAGAGCUCUCCUGCUUGCUCUCCAGGGAGACAUCCAGAGGGAAGUGCCGGAAGCAAAAGCCCCCUCUGGAUUUACUUGGCGAAGAAGAGCCUGCAGAAGCCGAGGAGAGCCCUCCUUCAGACUGCCAGCACCUCCCUCAGGACGUUAUCUGAGCAAUCUGGCCUGGGCCCUUGUGCAGAUAAGGAGGCCUUAAGGCCCUUUCCCCCUCCACACAAAGACACAUCCUGUCUUCCCAAUGGACUGGAACUGCUGUGUUUUUCUCCACUUGCUGCUGCUGCUGCUCUAUUUCAGAAGAGGAGGUCGUGGGUGCCGGACGGAGGGAGGUGAGCCGAGGCCGGUGACCAGGAGGACAAUGCAAGUGACAGAUGGGCUAGUCUGGUUUUUUUUUGUUUUUUUUUGAGGAGGUGGCCGUGCAGUUCAGCAGGGAGGAGUGGGCUCUGCUGGAUCCGUCCCAAAGGGCCUUGCACAAGGAAGUCAUGGAGGAGACGUUUGCCUUGAUGGCCGCUCUAGGUGACCGGGGGGAGAGUGAGGAGGAGGAAAAACCCCACCCAGCAUUGCUCAGAGGUAUCAGAUGGGGAAAGAAGGAAAAACAGAGAAGGCAAACUAAAGCAAAGCAGAGGAACGGGAAGGGAUCUUAUGCUUCUCAGUAUGGCAACAUCCAUAAAUUUGGAAUCCAAAAAACGGUGGCGAAAGAAAGGGAAAGGCGCCAGCGCCCUGCGAGAAGGAAAGCUUCUGAACCAGGCUUUCAAGCUCUGUGGGAAAUGGACACAAGGGAGAAACCACACAGAUGCUUGGAGUGUGGAAAGGGCUUCAUCAACAGGGGAAACCUCACCAAACAUCAAAGAAGCCACACUGGAGAGAAAUAAUAUACAUGCUUGUGAGGAUAAAAAAUGAGAUCUCCCUUCCCGAGCAUAGGGAGGCACCUAUAUAAUUGUGCAUGAUAUGUUAAAACCAGCACAGACUCUUUUCCCCCAAAAGGGAAGUUUGAAUAAAAUUUUUGCCUUGCUUCCUUAGCAAAACUUUUGCAUAUAGAAAUGGAACUAGGAGCAUAUUUGAGGUGUGCGUCAUUUCAGCAAGCUGAGAGUGUUUCGAGUCCUCAUCAAGGAAGAAAAUAGGGCCUGGCUGGUUUGCAAAUAUUCCAUAUUGACAAAAAUACCCAGGAAAUGAGAUGGAAUCCUGACUGCAGCCCCACCUCCCUCCCUCCUCCCUCCCUCCCUCCAGGACUUAGUCAACCAGAGCAGGUCAACUGGGUGGUUCUUCCACGAUCAGAGCAGUCUUUGGGGGAUGGCUAUUGAGAACAGUGUUCCCGCUGACAGGGAGUCCCAGGGGUUGUUGACUACAACUCCCAUAAUCCCCAGCCAAAGGGCACUGCAGCUGGGGAUGCUGGGAGCUGUAGGGAACAACAUCUGGAAAUCCCUGUCAGAGGGAACAGUGAUUGAGAAGGGGAUUUCUGUCUUAUUUCAGGCUCUGACCACAUUUCUCUCCAUUCCAGCAAGUAACGGGUGGGAGAGUGAAGAGGACGAAAGACCCACCUGCCAAAGUUUGUUCAGACGGAAAAAGAGAGAACAGAAAAGGAAAACCUGCGGCAAAAGAGAAGAACAAGGAGAGACCUUCUGCUUCCCAGUAGGGUGACAUCUAUAAAACCAAAAAGACAAGGGGGAAAGAAGUCCCUGCCCUGUAAGUAGGAAAAACUUCAGUUCUGAACCAAGUUUUCAGCCUCAGUGAAAAAUGGACACAGGUAAGCAACCAUAUAAAUGCUUGGAGUGUGGUUUAGUGGGAGUUACAACCUCAAUUUACAUCAUAAGAACAUAAGAACAGCCCUGCUGGAUCAGGCCCAAGGCCCAUCUAGCCCAGCAUCCUGUUUCGCACAGUGGCCCACCAGAUCCACUGGAAGCCACAGACAGGAGUUGAGGGCAUGCCCUCUCUCCUGCUGUUGCUCCCCUGCAACUGGUACUCAGAGGCAUCCUGACUUUGAGGCUUGAGGUGGCCCACAGCCCUCCGACUAGUAGCCAUUGAUAGACCUCUCCUCCAUGAAGUCAUCCAAACCCCUCUUAAAGCCAUCCAGGUUGUGGGCUGUCACCACAUCCUGUGGCAGAGAGUUCCACAAGUGAAUCACGCAUUGUGUGAAAAAGUACUUCCGUUUGUUGGUCCUAGACCUCCUGGCAAUCAAUUUCAUGGAGUGACCCCUGGUUCUAGUGUUGUGUGAGAGGGAAACGAAUCUCUCUCUCUCCACUUUCUCCACGCCAUGCAUGAUUUUAUAGACCUCUAGCAUGUCUCCCUGCAGUCAUCUUUUUUCUAAACUAAAAAGCCCCAGGUGUUGUAGUCUUGCCUUGUAAGAAAGUUGCUCUAGGCCCCUGAUCAUCUUGGUUGCCCUUUUCUGUACCUUCUCCAGUUCAACAAUGUCCUUUUUAAGAUGUGACCAGAAUUGUACGCAGUACUCCAGGUGUGGCUGCACCAUAGUUUUGCAUAAGGGCAUUAUAAUAUUAGCCGUUUUAUUUUCAGUCCCCUUCCUAAUGAUCCCUAGCAUGGAAUUGGCCUUUUUCACAGCUGCCGUGCACUGAGAUGACACUUUCAAUGAGCUGUCCACCACAACCCCAAGAUCCCUUUCCUGGUCCGUCACCAACAGCUUGGAUCCCAUCAGCAUAUACUUGAAGUUGGGGUUUUUCGUUCCAAUGUGCAUCACUUUACACUUGCUAACAUUGAACCGCAUUUGCCAUUUUGUCGCCCACUCCCCCAGUUUGGAGAGAUCCUUUUGGAGCUCCUCACAAUCCGUGUUGGAUUUCACUACCCAAAAGAGUUUGGUAUCAUCUGCAAAUUUGGCCACCUCGCUGCUUACCCCUGCUUCUAGAUCAUUUAUGAAUAAAUUAAAAAGCACCGGUCCCAGUACAGAUCCCUGGAGGACCCCACUUCUUACUUCCCUCCAUUGUGAAAACUCUCCAUUGAUACCUACCCUCUGUUUCCUGUCUUUCAACCAGUUAGCAAUCCACACAUGUACUUGUCCCCUUGUCCCAUGACCGCUAAGUUUCCUCAGGAGUCUUUGAUGAGGAACUUUGUCAAAAGCUUUUUGGAAGUCCAGGUAGACUAUGUCAACUGGAUCACCUUGAUCCACACACUCGUUGACACUCUCAAAGAAGUCCAAAAGGUUGGUGAGGCAAGAUUUACCUUCGCGGAAGCCAUGCUGGCUCACUCCCAGCAGGGCCUGUUCUUCUAGGUGCUGUACAAUUUUAUCCUUGAGGAUGAUUUCCAUCAAUUUGCCUCGAACGGACAUUAGGCUAACCGGCCUGUAAUUUCCCGGAUCGCCCCUGGAUCCCUUUUUGAAAAUCGGUGUUACAGUUGCUACUCUCCGGUCCUCUGGUACAGAGCCCGAUUUCAGGGAUAAGUUAAAUAUUUUAGCAAGGAGGUCGGCAAUUUCACAUUUGAAUCCUUUGAGGACUCGUGGAUGGAUGCCAUCUGGCCCUGGUGAUUUGUUAGCUUUCAGUUUUUCCAGACAGUUUAGAACAUCAUCCCUUGUCACUUCUAUCUGACUCAGCUCUCUAGCCUCCAUCCCUAAAAAGCCUGGUUCAGGAACAGGUAUAUGCUCAGUAUCCUCUGCCGUGAAGACAGAUGCAAAGAACUCAUUCAGCUUCUCUGCAACCUCCAUAUCCUCCUUAAUAAUCCCUUUCACUCCCUCAUUGUCUAAUGGCCCAACUGCCUCCCUGGCAGGUUUCCUGCUUCUGAUGUACUUAAAGAAGUUUUUGUUAUUCCCCUUGAUCCUUUUGGCUAAAUGUUCCUCAAACUCUUUUUGCCUCCCUUAUUGUCACCUUGCAUUUCUUUUGCCAGAGUUUGUGUUCCUUUCUGUUCUUUUCGUUUGGACAGGCCUUCCAAUUUCGGAAGGAAGUCUUCUUCCCUUUUAUGGCUUCCUUGACGGUACCCGUUAGCCAUGCUGGCAUCCUCCUGGACUUAGUGGUACCUUUCCUCCUUUUGGGUAUACAAUCUAACUGGGCUUCUAGUAUUGUGGUUUUGAGUAAACUCCAUGCACUCUGGAGCGAAGUGACUCUCCUGAUUUUCCUCCUCAGCUCUCUUUUCACCAUACUCCUCAUUUUGGAGAAGUUUCCUCUUCUGAAAUUCAAAAUGUCCAUGUUAGACAUCCUUGGUUAUUCUCUCCCCACAUGUAUGCUGAAUUUGAUGGCACUGUGGUCACUGUUCCCUAAAGGGUCGAUGACACUGAUGUCACGCACCAGGUCCUAGGUGUCACUCAGAAUUAGAUCCAAGGUCGCUUUCUCUCUGGUUGGUUCUAUGACCAACUGUUCUAGGGCACAGUCAUUUAGUAUAUCUAGAAAUUUGACCUCUUUGUCCUGACUCAAAUGUGAAUUUACCCAGUCUAUGUGUGGGUAAUUGAAGUCACCCAUGAUUACUGCCCUGCCUCUCCUUGAUGCCUCCCUGAUUUCCUCCUGCAACUCCCAAUCACUGUCGGCAUUAUGAUCCGGAGGGCGAUAGCACGUCCCCAGUAGCACGUUCCCUUUCCGGCCUUGUAUAGUCACCCACAGGGUUUCUGUGGAGGACUCCAGUCCACCUAGGUUUUCUAGCUUGUUAGAUUCUAUCCCUUCUUUAACAUGCAGUGCUACUCCACCUCCAAGGUGCCCCUCCCUGUCCUUUCUAUAGAGUUUAUACCCAGGGAUAACAGUGUCCCACUGGUUCUCACUGUUCCACCAGGUUUCUGUUAUGCCCACUAUAUCUAUUUCUGCAUUAGCAACCAAGCACUCCAGCUCAGCCAUCUUGGCUCGGAGGCUUCUGGCAUUGGCAUAUAAGCACCUAUACACUGAAUCUCUCCCCUGAUGUAUGCUAUUCUUUUGGCUCUUUGACCUGCUGGCACAGGCUCCCAUCUGCUCUUUAUGCGGUUCUGCUCUGUCCCUUUCUGUUUUAUCUGAAUUCUUUGCAGCCUCACACUUUAAAGGGUGGCUUUUGCCAAACGGGAUACUGCCCAGCUCCCAUCGGCUGUUCCCCAGGUGUCAUUUUAAAAGCUGCUCUGCAACCUUUUUGAUUUUAAGUGCCAGCAGUCUGGUUCCAUCUUGGUUCAAGUGCAGCCCAUCCCUUUUGUACAGGCCUUGCUUGCCCCAAAAUGUGUCCCAGUGCCUAACAAAUCUAAACCCCUCCUCCCAGCACCAACGUCUCACCCACGCAUUGAAACCCCUCAGCUCUGCCUGUCUCACUGUACUUGCGCGUGGAACAGGUAGCAUUUCUGAGAAGGCUACCUUGGGGGUCCUGGACUUCAAAAUGCUACCUAUCAGCCUAAAUUUGGCUUCCAGGACCUCCCGACUGCAUUUCCCCACAUCGUUGGUGCCGACGUGCACCACAACAGCUGUCUCCUCCCCUGCACUGCCUAGGAGCCUAUCUAGACGCUGCGUAAUGUCCUGUCAAGGAGACUGAGGAGCGGACGCCAGCCGAGAGAGCAUUCCAAAGCCUGGGGGCCAUGACUGAGAAAGCCCCGUCCCACAUACUCAGCAACCAAACCUCUCUCACUGUUGGCACACGGAGCAGACCCCCUCCGAUGAUCUUGUCAAGCGGGCAGAAACCCUUGGGAGCAGGCCAGGUUGCUGCUGGCUUGAGACCUUAGAGGGACACAGCAAGGGCUCUGCCUGCCAUCUCUCCCCAGGACUCAGUCACCCAGAGCAGGGCGGCUUCGUGGUUCUUCUGUGAUCAGAGCAGUCCCUCUGUGCUGCCCUUUGAGAAGGGAAGGCCUUUCCUGUCUCAGGCUCUGAACGGUUCUCUCUCUUUGUUUCAGCAGGUGACGGCUAGGAGAGUGAGGAGGAAGGAAGACCCCACCCAUGAUUGUGCAGAGGGAUCAGAUGGAAAAAGAGGGCACAACAGAAGGAAAACCUUAAGCAAAGGAGAAGAACAAGAAAAACAGGGGAAAGAAGUGAGAAAUGAACACAAAGGGGAAACCGCAUAAAUGCUUGGAGUGUGGAAAGAGCUUCAGUGCGAGUUCCCACCUCACUUCACAUCAAAGAACCCACACUGGAGAGAGACCAUAUAAAUGCUUGGAGUGUGGAAAGAGCUUUACUGACAGUGGAUCCCUUACUAUUCAUCAAAGAAUACAUACUGGAGAGAGACCAUAUAAAUGCUUGGAGUGUGAUAAGUGAUUCAGUGACAGUGCAAAACUUAGCAAACAUCAAAGAACCCACACCAGAGAGAAACCAUUUCUGUGCUUGGAGUGUGGAAAGAGCUUCAGUGACAAUGGAAACCUUACCAUACAUCAAAGAAUUCACACUGGUGAGAAACCAUAUCACUGCCUGGAGUGUGGAAAGCGCUUCAGUAGCAAUGGAUCACUUCUUGUGCAUCAAAGAAGCCACACUGGAGAGAGACCAUAUCAGUGCUUGGAGUGUGGAAGGAGCUUCAGUGGGAGUGACUACCUCAAUUUACAUCAAAUGACUCACACUGGAGAGAAACCUUUUAAAUGCUUGGAGUGUGGAAAGAGCUUCAGCACCAGUGGAAAUCUUAAUCGGCAUCAAAGAACCCACACUGUGUAGAAACUACAUCCGUGCUCAGAGAGUGGAAAGAGCUUCAGCCAGAACGGGGAUCCUACUAAACGUCAAAGUACCCACAGUGGAAAUGGGGAUUUCUGUUUUAGAAUUUCACUUGGAAGUAAAGGAACCAUUUGCAACUUGAAGGAUUUCAUUUUAAACAUUAGCCAUUUUAUUUUAUAAUGGCCAUAUAUGGUAAGCUUGAAUUAUAGUACAUUUGAAUCUGAAAGGAUCUUCUGCUUUCUGGGGGCAUCAUGUUGUUUUAGAUGUAUCCUUGAGUGAUUAAAACCCCUUGAGAGCAAUAAAAGUGAAAAGGAUUAA